Molecule: long non-coding RNA, 1520 nt
Filed under: Felis catus (domestic cat)
Lineage: Eukaryota; Metazoa; Chordata; Mammalia; Carnivora; Felidae
Description: lncRNA (ENSFCAG00000040243.2)
Source: RNAcentral
GCUGAGCAGAUCCUGCUGUGAACUGAAUGUCAGAGUGGCUGUUUUAGGCUCAGGGCCGCGGAGAACGACUCUGGCCAGGCAUGGAUCCCAGCCCCUUGGGAGACUUCAUCCGACCCACCGGGCCGCAGGGUGGCUGGUCGAGGAAGACCCCUUCACUCUUUUCCAAAAGGCCCCAACUUCAGUCCGAGGUAUGGGGGACUGGGUGAAGGGUGGGGUGAGUCCACGGCCCCCACGCUCCUCCUCACCAUCUGGCCACUCCAUGAGCCCCUCCUGAGCCCAUCCCUGUGGAGCUUGCUGCCUCCUGAAGCAGUUUGGGGCCUCCGUCCUCUCCAGCUUCUGGCUUUCCCCUGGCAUCUUCUCAUGAGUUGGGGGAGGGGAGGGAGGCUUAUACUUCCUUAUUCUGUUUUGGAGGGUAAAGAUGGCACAGGGCUGUUCAUAACGGGGGAAGGAUGCAGAAAUAGCACUAGGAAUAACAUGCAGGCAUUUGACUGCGUGUGUCCUGUUCCUUUCUUAACAGAUGGCCCUCCGGUCUGGGGUCCACCCCUCGUAACCCCCCUCAUCCUGGCCAGGGAUCUAUCUUAGCUCCUUAUUUACACAGCAAGUGUCUGGUCCUCGGCUAGGAACUGUGAGCACAUUCCUCUGUGGUGACCAAGUGGUCCUUUGUAGGGUUUGGGGGGCAGCUGAGGGCUGCCGCUCCCUGGGCAUGCAGGGUCCUGACCACACACUCUCUCCUCUCUCCCUUGAGGGAUAUGGGUCCAACUGAGGCUGAAAGUAUCAUGGGGUUGGGGGAGGCUACACCUACCUGUUUGUGCUUCUGGCUUUUCAGACUUCCCUUUCUCUGGAGCAUGAAGAUAAGGAGGGAGGCAAUCCCCUCUCAGUGAUGGACCUGGGCAUCGAUUAAAUUCCCUUAGGGGGCAGAAGUGUUGAAAAAAAAUGCGUGGCAAAAUGGCAGGGACUUUACUUGUAAAUACUGUUAAUUUCACCUAUUCUCUUCUCUGCGGAUGAAGUAUGAAAAUCGAGUAUACUUUUCUUGAAAGUAAAUCUAAGACAGUGAGCUGCAUCCUUGCGUGUUUGUUUCCACGCAAACAGGAGGCAGAGACUGCUAAUUCCCUCCCCCUGUCCUUGGUUGGAGAAUUUCAGUUGUAGUCUACCAGUCCAUGGACUCCACCAAAAGACUACAGCUCUCAGUUUCCCCCGCAACUCGGUGUGACCACCUGCCUAGGUCCUGGCCAAUGAGGUAUAAACUGAGGCGUAUCCCAGAGGCUUCCUAAGUGAGUUGACUGAUGGGCUACACCCUUUCUGCCACGUGAGAUUUCUUCCUUCUUUUGGCCUGCGGGCAGGACACCGUGGCCGAAGUGACAGCAUCUAUCCUGGGCCAUUGAGGCUGGAAAGCACAUGUUAGGUAGAUAAAGCAGAACACCGGGGUCUGGGCCCCUGAAGACCAUGGAAUCACCAAACCCGUCCUUCCUUUGAACUUUUGCAUGAUAGUGAAAUAAAUAAUGUCUAUCUUAUUUAAGCCA